This 254-nucleotide unclassified non-coding RNA is filed under the name uncultured Sordariomycetes. RNAcentral describes it as "sequence contains 5.8S rRNA gene, ITS2, 28S rRNA gene". The record is from RNAcentral. Lineage: Eukaryota; Fungi; Ascomycota; Sordariomycetes.
AACGCACAUUGCGCCCGCUAGCAUUCUGGCGGGCAUGCCUGUCCGAGCGUCAUUUCGACCAUCAAGCCCUCCGGGGCUUGCGUUGGGGUCCUGCGGCCGCCCGCAGCCUCCGAAAUGCAGUGGCGGGCUCGCUAACGCGUCGAGCGCAGUAGGCAACUUCUCGCUCGGGUCAGCGGUAGCGGGCGCCGGCCGUGAAACCCCUUCCACUCCCCAAGGUUGACCUCGGAUCAGGUAGGGAUACCCGCUGAACUUAA